AGAUCCCGAUUGCCCAGAAUCCCGAUGACCCUGAAUUUCAAUUAAUUAGAAUCCCUAUUGCCUCAAAUUCCGAUGAUACCAAUCCCGAUUGCCUAGAAUCCUGAUAUUGUUGAUCCCGAUUACCCUGAAUUUUUGUCGGAUAAAAUCCUGAUUACUUAAAAUCCCGAUGAUACAGACGUGAGCAUUAUCCAGGGUUAAAAAUUUUUAAUUCUCAUCCACUCUAUAAAAUUAUCGAGUUUAUGGCAAUAUCUUGUAUUGGCAAAACUGAGAUCGGAGUAGAGCGUGAACUUAUUUAUAGUGAAGGUAAAUAUAUUUAUGAUGGUUAGUAGUGACAGCGUGUUGUGACAGCUUGUAAACAUUAGGCCUUCUACGACCAACGACUCGCCGAGGGCCAUCCAGGUAUAUUGUUCGGGCAGUUCUUCGCGAGUCGGGUCAUCGCCGAGCCCCAGCGACCCAACUGGCAGCCCACUAGCCGUGCAAUGCCCAGACUCAACUGUAUCACAGUGUUGGAGUCGUAGAAUUCCAGCGCUAAGAAUCCAGGUGCACCAGUUGAACCAACUAACAAAAAACUACGUAAGCAUUACGUACGUAAAAAACGGAGACAAAAAGCAAAGGGGAGCAAUGAAGGGUGCCAGUGACAAGUCUAGGUCUACCAAUGAAACCAGUGGUGUCCUGCUGGCAGGGACCGAGUCUGCCACGAGUCCUGUCCACCCCGGCGAUAACCUCCCCGAUGAUCGUUAGCCCCGAGAUAUCGAUAUCCAACCUUGGUCAAUUGUCGAGCGACUGUACCGCGGACUCGUUGAAGGCCAAGAGCCAGCUGACCCUCCGGCAAAGAGACUCUCCUCCGAGCAAGCUGACAGAGAUGAGCACUUGAAAUUAGAAGAAGCGCAUUUAUCAGCGCCACUUGUAGCAAACUUAGUCGCUUCUCUAUCUAGCAACCGCCUGCACUCCUGUCCGACUGUCAAGGGGAGUUUCUACGGCGGAAAAGUCGGCUCGAUUAACAAAGAAAACGAUAACAAGAACGAGAACGAACAAUGAUGCAAGUUAGUCUCCAGACCCGGUCGUAGGAGUCUCGACUUCCUGCAGACUGAUGUAAUGAACACCUGUUGGCCCUCGACUCACGUUCGCAACCAGGAUAAUUUUAACCUAGUGACUGACAAAGACUUCGAGUUGCCCUCCGCUAAAAACACUCUGACCGGGGACUAAAACGACGAUCCAGAGUCUGGCAGGCUGGAGAUCGAGUUAGCUGAUGAAGAAAAGGAAGAGGAAGCCUCUCCUUCCCCGGAUAGUAUCGAUGAAGAAGCUGUUGUCUCUUCUAUUGACAUGACCAUGCUCAGAGACUUUGAAUGUGUCAUGUGGGCUGAAGAAUGCGGCACUGCUGGCAGUUUAUUGGAAUCUUAAGCAUUGGUAGAAGCUGGGUUGUUGCCUGUUGAUGAUUUACUCAAUUUACGUAAAAUCGACAGCGACUUAGAGGGACAUCAAAUCCAAGAUUGAAUUUCGUUGAUGUGGGUACUGGAUUCCUGGGUCAAGGUCUUUCAGUUGCUGCUGGUGUAGCUUAUGUCAAAAAAAAUUAUGACAAGGCUAAUUACCGUGUAUACUAUUUAAUUGGUGAUAGAGAAUCAGCAGAAGAUUCAAUUUGGGAAGCGUUACACUUUGCCUCUUACUACAAACUUGAUAAUCUUUGUGCCAAUUUUGACAUCAAUCGUCUCGGUCAAAGUGAACCUACUUUUUUGCAACUUAAAAUGGAAGUAUACCAAAAGCGCUUCGAGGCAUUUGGAUUUCAUGCUUUAGUUAUCGAUGGCCAUGAAGUUGAAGAAUUGGUCAAGGAAUGCAUAAAUUUACUUCGUUGCAUUCAUUAGUUAUUAUUCAUUGGACAAUUUAAAUGUUAUUUAGGUUAUAUAAAUCAAGAAUUAAUUAAUUAUAAGUAAAAUAAACUUUAUUGUUAUUAGAAAUACGAUUAAAAAUAACACUGAGUAAUUAAAUGGUAGAGUAAAUUUAUAAAUAAUUAUCG
Cotesia glomerata is the source of this 2011-nucleotide long non-coding RNA. RefSeq lists it as uncharacterized. The transcript is spliced from 4 exons. The record is from RefSeq and is a predicted model, not a curated record. Lineage: Eukaryota; Metazoa; Arthropoda; Insecta; Hymenoptera; Braconidae.